CCCGCUCAGAAACUCAAAGGAAUUGACGGGGGCCCGCACAAGCGGUGGAGCAUGUGGUUUAAUUCGAAGCAACGCGAAGAACCUUACCAGGCCUUGACAUGCAGAGAACUUUCCAGAGAUGGAUUUGGUGCCUUCGGGAACUCUGACACAGGUGCUGCAUGGUUGUCGUCAGCUCGUGCCGUGAGGUGUCGGGUUAAGUCCCAUAACGAGCGCAACCCCUAUCAUUAGUUGCCAUCAGGUUAAGCUGGGGACUCUAAAGGAACUGCCUACGCAAGUAGUGAGGAAGGCGGGGAUGACGUCAAAUCAGCACGGCCCUUACGUCCAGGGCUACACACGUGCUACAAUGGCCGAUACAGAGGGCAGCUACCUGGUGACAGGAUGCAAAUCUCCAAAGUCGGUCUCAGUUCGGAUCGGAGUCUGCAACCCGACUCCGUGAAGUUGGAUUCGCUAGUAAUCGCGCAUCAGCCAUGGCGCGGUGAAUACGUUCCCGGGCCUU
This 496-nucleotide ribosomal RNA is filed under the name uncultured Anaerolineaceae bacterium. RNAcentral describes it as "bacterial SSU rRNA". It matches the Rfam family "Bacterial small subunit ribosomal RNA", at positions 888 to 1382 of the family's 1533-position model. The record is from RNAcentral. Lineage: Bacteria; Bacillati; Chloroflexota; Anaerolineae; Anaerolineales; Anaerolineaceae.